AAUACGAACACCACAUUACUCAAAUUCCAGUAUUUAGUGAUAAAAACCACUAACACAGAAAGGAAAGUUGUCAGUAACUCUUCUGGUUUAUUCCUAAACUUGAACAACAAUUAACCAUUUAACAAGGACGUGAAACUGAAAACUAGCAUUCCACAAGUUUUUGUGCACGUGUCAAUGCAACACUGAGGCUAGUCCUCCACUGAAUACCACCACCGUGAGGAUUGCUCAUUAAUUUCGAAAUUCGAAGUUACAUAAAACCUUAAAGGCACGAAAAUACCUUUUAAAUAGAAAUAAACAAAACUGAUCAGAAGGUUAAUUGAAAGACAAAGGUACAUUUUCAGGUAUUGCCAAACAGAUUGCCUAAGACAAACCCUUCAAUGACAGUACCGGGAAUGCCCAUUUGAAAGAGAGGACCGCAUCAACAUCUCAUUGAUGGUCAUAUAGAGCGUAAAAGUAAAUGGUCAGCAAGCUUCCGGAACCCUCGCGGGGUACGCCUAUGGGGAUUAUACAUGGGCUGUCCAAUCACAUGCCAUAAUUUUUGGAAGAAUAGUUUCUAACUAAAACCACCCCAAGAAACACUCAUGUCGGAAUUUUCCCUUUGUCCUCCUAAAGUAAUAUUUAGGACAAGUCACCUGGGGACGGGUUAAAAACGAAUUUCAUUAUUGCAACCUGUCGCAAUUUCCUACUCUCCUUGUUCAUGCACAUUUAUUUUCAUUACCCGUGCUUAAGUGGAGAUUAGAUUGUACAACGUUGCAAAGAUUUACCAGUCUAUGGGUUUCAGAUUCCGUUGAGUUGAGGUGACGCAGCUCUUGUCAACAAAGGUUACAUUAUAGGCCUACAUUAGAAUCUUUCGUAAGAGCAAGUUAUUGUUUUAAGUUUAUUUCCUUAUAAAUUUCAAAAUCCUCAACGAUAUUUUGGUCUAUUUUUAUUUUGGCUUUUACCGAAAGACUAUCAUAAACUAUAAUUCUGUAAUUGUUCAUCUGCGUGCGAGACCGCCGAAUUGCACUGAUCUUCAUGUAUUUUGGAUUUUCGGAAGUGAUAGGUCAGUUUCUGGCACGCUAUUUCUCUUUAGAUCAGAUCAUUUUUCAGUUUCCAUAAAUUGAUAAUUUUACAAAAGGCCUUUUUAAGAGUAGAGCUUUAAAGAAGUAACUAAACGGAAAAAUAUUACAAAUAUUACAUUUCUGUGCGUUAUUUUUCCUAUCCAAGGAUUCCGGAAGCGCGCCAUCACAUAUCAACUUUCAGGCUCUAUUGAACUUCCCUACUAUCCACCUGCAAAAGAACUUAAAACUGCAUCAAUUCAAAUAUCAACACCAUAUAAAUCAAAUAUCAAUAUUUAUAAUCCCAUCACCAUUUUAAUGUAAAAUAAACACGAUUUAAAAGAAAUACACAGCAAAUGACUUGGAAGUUGAAACCCAAAUCGAUAAAUGUAAAAGUAUAAACCUCUAUAAACCUCAGCAUUCAUAUUGCAUUAUAAAAAUGUCAUUAUUCUAUUAGGAGAUUUCAAUUGAUUUGAUUUGCAGCAUUAUUGAAGAUGACUUGAAAAUGACUUGGUUACAUUUCCAAAACGGAAAAAAAUGCCAUUAUUAGACAGAGCGUUUAGAAAUUGCCCAGUUCUGUUUCAGAAAAAUGAACGUUUUGCUCCCUUAGGUGCAUGUGAUCACUGAAUCCUUAUGUCGAGUUUCUAAACAGGCAAAGACUCAAAUUUGUACUCGCCCAUUUAGGGAUUCUGCAGUUUUGCCUUUCAGCCGUUGGCUUACUGAUUAUGACCGGUAUGAUUCUACCUCGAAUGUAUCAACUGUGUAUCGGGGCAAAAAUGUCAGUGAUGUGACAAAUCAGUACUAUUUUCCAGACAUUUCACUUGUUUAACGUCAGACGGAUAACACCAGCUAUCAAAACAUCUGGUGCAAGAACAUCAAAACGCUUUUGACAAUAGACAGUUACAUCCCCCAAUUGAUUGAUUGCGCCCGCUAAAUCACAUGACCGAUAGUGGGCACCAAUCCCAUAUAAACUAUAGCAACGUGUGUUUUGACUGUUGUUUACAAACAGUACAGCCAAUUACGUGCAAAUGUAAUUACGUGCUUUAGAUAACACACUGUUUCCACGCUAUUUGCCAUCGGAGCCACCACCUGUAAUAUAUAUGUCAUAUUUGAGCCAGGUUGUGUGUUUUGUAAAAUAAAAUGUGUUUUCCUUUCUCAAUUUUGUUUGCUGUCGAGAGGUUCGUUGCACUCCCCCCUUGUCUAGUUGUAAGUGGUGAAUAUUUAUUUUAUGCCCCGAUGUCCUUCAUUUGCAUUGGAAAUGAUGUCUAGGGCGGCUCUAGAAUGUGAACUCUGCAUUAGAGACUCCAGAGGGUAAGUACAUACAAUGCCAGUGGAAUGUGAACAAUUGGGUGUGGCCCGUUAAUAGUGUGCACUGGAGUGUGCGGCAGUUGUGUGAGUUGAUGUGUGUGUGUCUUACCGAAUUACCCGGGGGUCAGUAAUUUCGUUGUCUUAGUCGCCAGUGGUCAAAUUCCGCUCUCAGCAAGCUCAAUACAUCUACCAGAGAUUUUGCUCUUGGGGUUUGAUAUUUGCUUUUCUUGCUUGUUCGCUGAGUGUUCAUCUUGGAGUAUUUUAGACUCCAUAAACCGUGUGACUUUGGACUGAUGACCAAUUACAAGCAACAACGGAGGCCACAUAUCUAGGGCCCUUGAUAAGUGGCACUUAAUGACAACCCGAGUUUUACUACCAACGUCUUGCCCAGCAUGGUACCUGAAAGGGGAGAUGUCAUGACUACUGGCUAUUGUGGCCGUGGCGACCUUGCUCCUGAGUGCGGCUACAUCUACCUGUGUGCGUCAACAGAUACGGUGUUUUCAGCACAUCCAUCCGGGACGCAAGAGCCAUUGAACGAUAGCGAAAGGAUGGAUUGAACAUUAUUUUGGUUAAGGCUUACUUAAAUUGAAUUUAUUUUCUGUGAAUUUGUGGUUUCACUAAAUGGUUAGUCAGUCGCCUCGUGUCCAAGUUAAUGCGGCUCGUUUUGCCUAUGUGGCUCAUUUUGCCUAUGCGGCUUAUUUUGCCUGUGUGGCCCAUUUUGCCUUGGUGGAAUGUUAUUAGGUUGUGCCCAGGUGUUUCUACUUUAUUUUGACGGUCUUUAUACAUGUACGAGCUUUGGUGUGUUUAUGUAAUUCACUACUUUAUCGAUUUGAAGGUAUCAUAAAUUUCAUGUCAUAGUGAUACUGGAGCUCCACACAGUGCACUGAUCGAUGUAUUAGUGUUUUGGGGUGUUUCGUCAUUGCAAGCCUGGUUCAUUUUAAUCUCAAACUCGAAAAACUGUACCUUUAGAUUUUAACAUUGAUGAAUUGUACAUACGGAGGAGAAAAACCUGUGAACAUUGGGAUUGUAAAUAAAUGAUUCGAAUACUAGACACUUGUCAAGUUUGUUUUCUGACAGAGUUCUCAAAAUAUAUAUCGUUACCAAGUUCUAACAGAAUUUAACUGUCUUAAUUCACGAAAAACAGGUAGUCCUUGGGAUUUGCCCGUCAGAUUAAUUAAGGAAUUCUCUGUUGAAAUUGCCAAUCCAUUGAAACUUCUUUUAAAUAUUUGUAUUGAACAAGAAGUCUUUCCCGGACUGUGGAAAACUGCUACAAUCAUUCCCGUACCUAAAGACCACGAAAUUUCUUCUUUUAACCAAUUAACACCAAUUGCACUCACUCUCAUUUUGGCACGCAUACAUGUAUUUGAAUCAUUCUUGUUCCAAGGUCCAAUGCUUAGUGCUAUAAGCGCUCGCCUAUACGGUGUUUGGCCAAAGUAUUGUAAUAGGGACAUUUUAUUUUUUCAUUCUACUCAUUUUUUUCUAUUUUUGAUGGUGGUGUAGAUAUUGUCUAUUAUUUUUGUGAUUUUGUUUUGGAACUUUUGUAUUUUGAGGAAUUUAUGGAAUCAACGUGAUGACGUUUAAUUAAAUUCCAAAUUGUCGUAA
This 3947-nucleotide long non-coding RNA is filed under the name Acanthaster planci (crown-of-thorns starfish). RNAcentral's name for it is "uncharacterized LOC110979556". The record is from RNAcentral. Lineage: Eukaryota; Metazoa; Echinodermata; Asteroidea; Valvatida; Acanthasteridae.